GAUGAACGCUAGCUACAGGCUUAACACAUGCAAGUCGAGGGGAAACGGCAUUGAGUGCUUGCACUCUUUGGACGUCGACCGGCGCACGGGUGAGUAACGCGUAUCCAACCUUCCCAUUACUGUGGGAUAACCUGCCGAAAGGCAGACUAAUACCGCAUAGUCUUCGAUGACGGCAUCAGAUUUGAAGUAAAGAUUUAUCGGUAAUGGAUGGGGAUGCGUCUGAUUAGCUUGUUGGCGGGGUAACGGCCCACCAAGGCUACGAUCAGUAGGGGUUCCGAGAGGAAGGUCCCCCACAUUGGAACUGAGACACGGUCCAAACUCCUACGGGAGGCAGCAGUGAGGAAUAUUGGUCAAUGGACGGAAGUCUGAACCAGCCAAGUAGCGUGCAGGAUGACGGCCCUAUGGGUUGUAAACUGCUUUUGUAUGGGGAUAAAGUUAGGGACGUGUCCCUAUUUGCAGGUACCAUACGAAUAAGGACCGGCUAAUUCCGUG
Molecule: ribosomal RNA, 492 nt
Filed under: uncultured bacterium
Lineage: Bacteria
Description: partial 16S ribosomal RNA
Rfam family: Bacterial small subunit ribosomal RNA
Source: RNAcentral